CCUACGGGAGGCUGCAGUGAGGAAUCUUGGUCAAUGGGCGCGAGCCUGAACCAGCCAAGUAGCGUGAAGGAUGACUGCCCUACGGGUUGUAAACUUCUUUUAUAAAGGAAUAAAGUGAGGAACGUGUGCCUUUUUGUAUGUACUUUAUGAAUAAGGAUCGGCGAAAUCCGUGUCAGCAGCCGCGGUAAUACGGAGGAUCCGAGCGUUAUCCGGAUUUAUUGGGUUUAAAGGGAGCGUCGAUGGGUUGUUAAGUCAGUUGGGAAAGUUUGCGGCUCAACCGUAAAAUUGCAAUGGAUACUGGCAGCCUUGAGUACAGUUGAGGUAGGCGGAAUUCGUGGUGUAGCGGUGAAAUGCUUAGAUAUCACGAAGAACUCCGAUUGCGAAGGCAGCCUACUAAACUGCCACUGACAUUGAUGCUCGAAAGUGUGGGUAUCAAACAGGAUUAGAUACCCGAGUAGUC
Molecule: ribosomal RNA, 460 nt
Filed under: uncultured bacterium
Lineage: Bacteria
Description: partial 16S ribosomal RNA
Rfam family: Bacterial small subunit ribosomal RNA
Source: RNAcentral